AAAAGUGCUGGGAUUACAGGCAAGAGCCACCACGCACUUUUAAACAACCAGAUCUCAUGAGAACUCACUCAGUAUCAUGAGAACGGCACCCAGGGAGACGGUGUUAAAGCAUUCAUGAGAAACCGCUCCCAUGAUUCAAUCACCUCCUACCAGGCCCCACACUGGGGAUUAUUAUUUGACAUGAGACUUGGGGGACACAAAUCCAAACCAUAUCAUGGGGGUAGGGGAGAAGGUGCCUGGUUCAAUACAGAGUCUUAAGACUCCACCUCAUUAGUAUUAAUUCAUUUGGUACAAGGAGGGCCUGGUAAUUGGGAUUUUACCCCCUUCCAUCCCAACCAUAGCCAGGUUCCUAUGAACCAAAGAAAGUCACUGACUGUUCUUUGAAUAACAUUAUGCUUUAUCUUUGAUUGUUUAUUGCUUUCGUAGACAGAGAAAGGGCCCUUAAAGUCUCUUGACUCCUCCCACUAAUAGCCUUGUGAAUUUGGGCAAGGCAUGCCAUCUCUCUGCACCGGUUUCACUUGUCAAAUGGGGACAACAACCCCAUCAAUUCUGGCUGUCGUGAGAACUCCCUGGCUUAUAGUGCCUGGCCCAGAGUAAGGCUCAGUAAUUGUGACCACUGCUGCUAUGAUGGCCUUGGAUUCCCGUGUUUGUUCGUUAGGUUCCGAUGCCGGAACUGGCUUUCAGGCCUCUGCUUAAAAGACAAUGACCUUCUGUCUCUUGCAAUGAGUUAGCAUUUACAGUUGAAAUGGGGCUCAGCACCCACCCACGUAGUCAGUCUUCAGCAAACCAGACAUGUUUCUAGAUUUUAUAUACAUAUGAUGUAAGCUCACUCAUUAAGCAAAUAUUCUUUAGCUCAGACUAUGUGUCCUGUGCUGUGCGGCUGCAAGUCAUGGUCCCGCCUGAAGGUAGCCUUGCCCUCAGCUGAACCCUGUCCCCGAGAUGCCUUCUCUACCUAUUCCCAUUCCCUGCAACUCACUCCAGGCCCCCUGGAGUGGUACCUGCCCCACUCUCAGGAACAUGCUUUGAAGUUAUGCUUUCAUAGUUCCAGAGUCCACAAGAAUUAACAUACUGCCCUAUCAGAGAAAGCCUUUCUGAAGAUCUGCGGAAAAGAAGGACGUUAGGGAAAAGCCAGCCUCUGUGUAGGUAACACUCCGAGGGUGCACUUGGUCAGACACGAGUGAAUCUACACAUGGGGCAAACUUGAUGCCUUAUUCCCCCAGCCCCCAAAAUUGGCAUUUUGUCUUAAUGUGUAAGCAACAAGAUCCACAUGUUACUUUGGAGUUUUUCACUGACAACCAGCACUAGUGUCUAACACAGUGGGUUAAGAAAAGUGGGUUAACUUUUCUUGGUUUAAGAAUGUGAUGAGGCCAGGCAUAGUGGCUCACACCUGUAAUGCCAGAACUUUGGGAAGCCACGGCAGGAGGACUGCUUGAGCCCAGGAGUUUGAGGCCAGCCUGGGCAACAUAGGGAGACCCCUUCCCUAAAAAAAAUUAAAAAAUUAGCCGAGCAUGGUGGUGCAUGCCUGUAGUCCCAGCUACUCAGAAGGCUGAGGCAAGAGGAUGACUUGAGCCUGGGAGGUUGAGGCUGCAGUAAGCCAUGAUCACACUACUGCACUCCGGCCUGGGUGACACAGCAAGACCCUGUCUCAAAAAAAAAAAAAAAAGAAAAAAGAAAAAAAAAAACCCCAAAAAUCUGAUGAACACAUUAGAUUCAUGAGUCUUUUUCUUUUUUCUUUAAAAUACUUUAAGUUCUGGGAUACAUAUGCAGAAAGUGCAGGUUUGUCACAUAGGCAUACAUGUGCCAUGGUGGUUUGCUGCACCCAUCAACCCACCAUCUACAUUAGGUAUUUCUCCUAAUGCUAUCCCUCCCUUAGCCCUCCACCCCCAACAGGUCCCGGUGUGUGAUGUUCCCUUCCCUGUGUCCAUGUGUCCUCAUUGGUCAACUCCCACUUAUGAGUGAGAACAUGUGGUGUUUGGUUUUCUGUUCCUGUGUUAUUUGGCUGAGAAUGCUGGUUUCCAGCUUCAUCCAUGUCCCUGCAAAGGACAUGAACUCAUUCUUUUUUACGGCUGUGAUACAUGAGUCUUUAAACAAUGCUUAUGUGGGGUUAGGUUCUAACGUCAGCUCAAAAGGUGGAAAUCAAGGACAGUCAAAUUGACCUUGAAAAUGCCCUGGGAAGACCCCAGGCAGCACCCAACGAUCAGUGGCUGAGGCUGCUGGCUGCCCCCAGCAUUUGUUUUCCCGCUUCCUGUAGAAGGAGGGGCUGUAUGUUUUGGGGAGCAUAUGGCUGCCCAAGAGAAAGACCAUUUCCCAGCAUCUCUUGCAGCUAGGCUCAACCAGGUGACCAUAUUCUGGUCAAAGUGACAUGAGAAUGCACAGGCUGUGUCCUUGAAGGGCAGGGCAAGCCCUCUUUUUCCUCCCCACUCCCAGUGACUGGGUGAUGGCAGCACAGCGGGGUGCUGUCUGGGCCAUGGAGGCGUGUCAGAGUGACAGUUCAGAGGGGCUGGGCCCCUGCUGCUGUCAGACCAGGCCUGUUCACCUUCCAACUGUCAUGUGACAGAAAUCCACCUCCAUCUCAUUUAAGCCCACUAAUGUCUGGGUCUGUCACAGGAACCAACACAUUCCCUGACCUAUAUACACUGUUGCUCUGGGAGGCGAACACAGCAGGCUGUCCCCCAGCACUGGGGCAGCUGCUGUUCUUUGGUUGAGCAUUGGGUGAAGUUGUUGACUUGUGUUCAGGGUUCACAAAAUACCUCGCAGCUCACAAAGACUGCAGUGAGAUGCUUACACUAUGAGGGUUGGGCAAUUGAGCCUAGGAAUAUAAAAUCCUGGGAGGUGGAGGGGUUAAGGGUGCCGGACUCCUCAGCCCCACAUCUCAGCAUCUCUGGGGAAUGCAGUCUGAGAAUCGUUCAUGGGACGCAGUGUUUCCUGCUAUCCCUUGCACGGACUGCCACAUAUCCAGCUUCCUGUCCUCUUCCACAAAGCCAGAGGGGAAGGAGAGGAGGGUCUUUGACUGUGGAGCCACAGCCUGGGAAAAGGGACUGCCUUCUUUCUGGAACAUCGGCCACGGGCUGCUCCCCUCCUUUCCUGGAGCCUCAGUUUCCUCAUCUGUGCCAUGGCAGUGACAGCCCCUGCCUAGUGACUCAGCUCCCACCUGCGAAAGUGCUUUGUAAACUGCAGGUGUACAAGGUGGCAGCGAUGUUAUCGCCUGGAAUCUUUUUGGGGACCAGGAGAAGGGAGGGCUCCUGACAGUUUCCAGGAAAGGCAGGAGCAGCUGCUAUCCAGAAAUCUGCACAACAAAAUGUCUGCUAUUGGCCUAAGCCCAAGGAUGGGACAUGGUGGCCCCAGUGGACCGCUUCCAUGAAAUCUGCAAUUAUGGGGAAGUGGGGCUUAUUAAGGAAGCUGGAGGGGAAUGCGGCCCUGGCUUCUAGCAAUGCUAUAAUUAGAUUGCAGGGCCCCUUUUACUUUGCUGACGAUCCAGAAGGCCUUGGCCCGGGGCUUGUGCUGAAAUACCCUGGCCUCCUGGGCAGCGGGUGAUGGCCCAAGCCUGUCGGGGUGCAGAAGGACACUGCCUUUAUGUUGGGGGGAUGGGGUAACAACAGCUGAGGCUUGUGUAGUGCUCAUGUGGGGCCGGCGCCAUUCUCAGCCUUCACUUCAUCCUGGCAUCUGCAGGAGUCUGUCCUGUUCUCGGUUCACAGGUGAGAACACAGGCACAGAGAGGUCAAGGAGGUUGCUCAAGGUCACAUUGUGGCUAAGUGGCAAAGUAGUAAAGAAGGGGUAUGAAUGAUUGAAAUCAGGGGUCGCCAAACCACAGCUCGUUUUUCUUUUUCCUGCUACUGUUGCCUGGUCUUGUCAAUAAAGUUUUACUCAGCACAUGUGCCGAGGCAGCAUAGCAGAGGUGAAAGAGCCGGAACGGGGAAUUCUGCCACAGUGUGACCUUGUAGAAGACACUCUGGGCUUUCUAAUCUGUAAAAUGAUGGGGGUUUGCUUUAGAUCGGGGUCACUGCACUUGAUGCAAAGGGCCAGAUGGUAAAUAUUUUAGGCUUUGCAGGUCAUAAGGUCUCUGUUGCUACUCAACUCUGUUACAUGCAGCAACUAUUGACAAUAUGUAAACUAAUGGGCAUGGCUGUAUUCCAAUAAAACUUUAUUCACAAAACCAGGCAACAGCAGCACAAAAAAAAAAAAAAAAAAAGAGGGCCAUGGUUUGCCAACCCCUGAUUUUGAUCAUUCACGUCGCUUCUUUACUACUUUGCCUCACGAAAUUCAUGUUUUUAAUACUUUUCUUUAUACGAAUUCACCGGUAUUCCUUAGAGCUUAGCAACACCAUAGGUUUGAUGACCUAAACAAAUACAGGUUUGUAUUUGUGGCAUACAUGUGAAAAUAAACUUGUGAGUUAAAAAUUAAAAAGAAAAGUGUGUGGGCCACCUAAACCAUCUCCUGAAGCACAGAGGUCCGUGCUCUGUGCUUUGGGAGACAUUUUUUAGUUCAAUAUAUUUUUUUUCGAGAUGGAGUCUCACUCUGUUGUCCAGGCUGGAGAGCAGUGGCACGAUCUCGGCUCACUGCAACCUCUACCUCCCGGGUUCAAGUGAUUCUCCUGCCUCAGCCUCCCGAGUAGCUGGGACUACAGGCACGUGCCACCAUGCCCGGCUAAUUUUUUAUAUUUUUAGUAGAGAUGGGGUUUCACCAUGUUAGCCAGGAUGGUCUCCAUCUCCUGACUUUGCGAUGACCCACCUUGGCCUCCCAAAGUGCUGGGAUUACAGGCGUAAGCCACCGCGCCAGGCCUAGGUCAGUGUUUUUCAAAUCACUGAGGUGUUGAGGGGGAAGAGGAGUCUGGGUGGGGGAGGUCAGGCCUGUACCCUGACUUGGAACAAAGCAGUUUUGCUUAAUCUGUUUAAGACAUUUGUUUGGGAAACGGGUUCUGGGGCCAAAGGAGUUUGGAACCAUCUAGAAGUGGCUUCAAAAUGAACUUGAGGCCUGUGCAGUGGCUCAUGCCUGUAAUCCCAGCACUUUGGGAGGACGAGGCAGGAGGAUUAUCUGAGGUCAGGAGUUCAUGACCAGUCUGGCCAACAUGGCAAAACCUCACCUCUACUAAAGAUACAAAACUUAGCCAGGCAUAGUGGUGCAUGCCUGUAAUCUCAGCUACUUGGGAGGAUGAAGUGGGAGGACUGCUUGAACCCAGAGAGGCAGGGGCUGCAGUGAGCCAAGAUCGCGCCACUGCACUCCAGGCUGGGCGACAGAGUGAGACUCCAUCUCAAAAAAAAAAAAAAUAAAAUAAAAAAAUUAACUUGAAGCAUUGAAGCUAUGAGAUUUCCCAGGUCUGUCUACACGGGGCUGUUAGUUCCCAUGCUGACUCUUAGAUUUCUUUUUUUUUCCCUUUUUUUUUGGGAGACAGCAUCUCACUCCAUUGCCCAGGCUGGAGUGCGAUGGUGUGAUCAUGGCUCACUGCAGCCUCGACCUCCUGGGCUCAAGUGAUCCUCCCACCUCAGCCUCCUGAGUAGCUGGGACCACAGGCCCA
Molecule: long non-coding RNA, 5512 nt
Filed under: Homo sapiens (human)
Lineage: Eukaryota; Metazoa; Chordata; Mammalia; Primates; Hominidae
Description: HSALNT0195175
Source: RNAcentral